Molecule: ribosomal RNA, 406 nt
Filed under: uncultured bacterium
Lineage: Bacteria
Description: partial 16S ribosomal RNA
Rfam family: Bacterial small subunit ribosomal RNA
Source: RNAcentral
AUUGAACGCUGGCGGCAGGCCUAACACAUGCAAGUCGAACGAGUGGCGGACGGGUGAGUAAUGUCUGGGAAACUGCCUGAUGGAGGGGGAUAACUACUGGCAACGGUAGCUAAUACCGCAUACCAUCAGAUCUGCCCAGAUGGGUUUAGCUUGUGGGUGGGGUAACGGCUCACCAAGGCGCCGCUCCCUAGCUGGUCUGCGAGGAUGACCAGCAACACGGGAACUGAGACACGGUCCAGACACCUACGGGAGGCAGCAGUGGGGAAUAUUGCACAAGGGGGGCAAGACUGAUGCAGCCAUGCCGCGUGUAUGAAGAAGGCCUUCGGGUUGAAAAGUACUUUCAGCGGGGAGGCGGUACCCGCAGAAGAAGCACCGGCUAACUCCGUGCCAGCAGCCGCGGUAAUAC